Molecule: ribosomal RNA, 481 nt
Filed under: uncultured bacterium
Lineage: Bacteria
Description: bacterial SSU rRNA
Rfam family: Bacterial small subunit ribosomal RNA
Source: RNAcentral
AGGACGAACGCUGGCGGCGUGCUUAACACAUGCAAGUCGAACGGAACUCUUUGGAUCAAGACUUCGGUCAAGUGAGAUUGAGUUUAGUGGCGGACGGGUGAGUAACGCGUGAGCAACCUGCCUUUCAGAGGGGGACAACAGUUGGAAACGACUGCUAAUACCGCAUAACGUAUUUCGGAGGCAUCUCUGGAAUACCAAAGAUUAUAUCGCUGAAAGAUGGGCUCGCGUACGAUUAGAUAGUUGGUGAGGUAACGGCUCACCAAGUCGACGAUCGUUAGCCGGACUGAGAGGUUGAACGGCCACAUUGGGACUGAGACACGGCCCAAACUCCUACGGGAGGCAGCAGUGGGGAAUAUUGCACAAUGGGCGAAAGCCUGAUGCAGCGACGCCGCGUGAGCGAAGAAGUAUUUCGGUAUGUAAAGCUCUAUCAGCAGGGAAGAAAAUGACGGUACCUGACUAAGAAGCACCGGCUAAAUACGUG